CGAUUAAGGUUCGAUUCGAGCGCAGCGAGAAAGCGUUGCCGCAGGCAACGACCCGAAGGGCGAAGCGCGCAGCGCUGAGUCAUCCUUCCCCCACCACCA
Molecule: small RNA, 99 nt
Filed under: Salmonella enterica subsp. enterica serovar Infantis
Lineage: Bacteria; Pseudomonadati; Pseudomonadota; Gammaproteobacteria; Enterobacterales; Enterobacteriaceae
Also listed under: 2 other names
Description: partial RtT sRNA
Rfam family: RtT RNA
About the family: This family represents a bacterial cis-regulatory element known as RtT RNA. The exact function of RtT is unknown although it is thought that it may be involved in changing the cellular response in relation to amino acid starvation.
Source: RNAcentral